GGUUUAGAAAUUUUCACUUAGUUUAUGGUAAGUGAUUUUUUAAACUAAAUUUCCUGGUAAAAUUAUCCAAGUAAUUUACUUUUCUUCAAUAAUUUCUUCCCUACACAGUUUCAGCUACAACAGCUACCUCCAUAUUAAGCACCGAAGCAGCAAUAACAUUGGUGACCAGGAGCUCAGGUGCAGCAGCUUCCAUUCCAGUGAUUACAACAUCAAGCAGCGAAACAAUAGGUGGGUGAAUCAGAAAACUUGUAAAAUGACAAUGCAGGGUUUUUUU
This 274-nucleotide long non-coding RNA is filed under the name Felis catus (domestic cat). Its description in RNAcentral is "lncRNA (ENSFCAG00000052324.1)". The record is from RNAcentral. Lineage: Eukaryota; Metazoa; Chordata; Mammalia; Carnivora; Felidae.